UGGGGAAUAUUGGACAAUGGGCGAAAGCCUGAUCCAGCCAUGCCGCGUGUGUGAAGAAGGUCUUCGGAUUGUAAAGCACUUUAAGUUGGGAGGAAGGGCAGUUACCUAAUACGUAUCUGUUUUGACGUUACCGACAGAAUAAGCACCGGCUAACUCUGUGCCAGCAGCCGCGGUAAUACAGAGGGUGCAAGCGUUAAUCGGAAUUACUGGGCGUAAAGCGCGCGUAGGUGGUUUGUUAAGUUGGAUGUGAAAUCCCCGGGCUCAACCUGGGAACUGCAUUCAAAACUGGCAAGCUAGAGUACGGUAGAGGGUGGUGGAAUUUCCUGUGUAGCGGUGAAAUGCGUAGAUAUAGGAAGGAACACCAGUGGCGAAGGCGACCACCUGGACUGAUACUGACACUGAGGUGCGAAAGCGUGGGGAGCAAACAGGAUUAGAUACCCUUGUAGUCCCUGAGCGGGCUGGCA
This 464-nucleotide ribosomal RNA is filed under the name uncultured bacterium. RNAcentral describes it as "bacterial SSU rRNA". It matches the Rfam family "Bacterial small subunit ribosomal RNA", at positions 355 to 814 of the family's 1533-position model. The record is from RNAcentral.